UAACCUGCCUUAGACAUUGGGAUAGCCUCGGGAAACCGGGAUUAAUACCGAAUAACAUCACAUAGACACAUGUCCUUGUGAUCAAAACUCCGGUGGUCUAAGAUGGACUCGCGUCCCAUUAGCUAGUUGGUAAGGUAACGGCCUACCANGGCGACGAUGGGUAGCCGGCCUGAGAGGGUGAACGGCCACAUUGGAACUGAGAAACGGUCCAAACUCCUACGGGAGGCAGCAGUGGGGAAUAUUGCACAAUGGGGGAAACCCUGAUGCAGCGACGCCGCGUGAACGAAGAAGGCUUUCGAGUCGUAAAGUUCUUUUAUAUGGGAAGAUAAUGACGGUACCAUAAGAAAAAGCCCCGGCUAACUACGUGCCAGCAGCCGCGGUAAUACGUAGGGGGCUAGCGUUGUCCGGAAUCACUGGGCGUAAAGGGUUCGCAGGCGGAAAUGCAAGUCAGGUGUAAAAGGCAGUAGCUUAACUACUGUAAGCAUUUGAAACUGCAUAUCUUGAGAAGAGUAGAGGUAAGUGGAAUUUUUAGUGUAGCGGUGAAAUGCGUAGAUAUUAAAAAGAAUACCGGUGGCGAAGGCGACUUACUGGGCUCAUUCUGACGCUGAGGAACGAAAGCGUGGGUAGCAAACAGGAUUAGAUACCCUGGUAGUCCACGCUGUAAACGAUGAGUGCUAGGUGU
This 682-nucleotide ribosomal RNA is filed under the name uncultured bacterium. Its description in RNAcentral is "bacterial SSU rRNA". It matches the Rfam family "Bacterial small subunit ribosomal RNA", at positions 122 to 823 of the family's 1533-position model. The record is from RNAcentral.